AGGCUUAACACAUGCAAGUCGAGCGCCCCGCAAGGGGAGCGGCAGACGGGUGAGUAACGCGUGGGAAUCUACCCAUCUCUACGGAAUAACUCAGGGAAACUUGUGCUAAUACCGUAUACGCCCUUCGGGGGAAAGAUUUAUCGGAGAUGGAUGAGCCCGCGUUGGAUUAGCUAGUUGGUGGGGUAAAGGCCUACCAAGGCGACGAUCCAUAGCUGGUCUGAGAGGAUGAUCAGCCACAUUGGGACUGAGACACGGCCCAAACUCCUACGGGAGGCAGCAGUGGGGAAUAUUGGACAAUGGGCGCAAGCCUGAUCCAGCCAUGCCGCGUGAGUGAUGAAGGCCUUAGGGUUGUAAAGCUCUUUCACCGGAGAAGAUAAUGACGGAAUCCGGAGAAGAAGCCCGGUAACUUCGUCAGAGCCGCG
This 422-nucleotide ribosomal RNA is filed under the name Rhizobium sp. ISP3. Its description in RNAcentral is "bacterial SSU rRNA". It matches the Rfam family "Bacterial small subunit ribosomal RNA", at positions 44 to 516 of the family's 1533-position model. The record is from RNAcentral. Lineage: Bacteria; Pseudomonadati; Pseudomonadota; Alphaproteobacteria; Hyphomicrobiales; Rhizobiaceae.